RNAcentral lists this ribosomal RNA (467 nucleotides) under uncultured bacterium. Its description in RNAcentral is "partial 16S ribosomal RNA". It matches the Rfam family "Bacterial small subunit ribosomal RNA", at positions 29 to 507 of the family's 1533-position model. The record is from RNAcentral.
ACGAACGCUGGCGGCUUGCUUAACCCAUGCAAGUCGCACGGACAGGCCCUGCUUUUGUUGGUUUCUCGAGUGGCGAACGGGUGAGUAACACGUGAGUAACCUGCCCUUGACUUUUGGAUAACUUCAGGAAACUGGGGCUAAUACCGGAUAGGAGCUCCUGCUGCAUGUUGGGGGUUGGAAAGUUUCGGCGGUUGGGGAUGGACUCGCGGCUUAUCAGCUUGUUGGUGGGGUAGUGGCUUACCAAGGCAUUGACGGGUAGCCGGCCUGAGAGGGUGACCGGCCACAUUGGGACUGAGAUACGGACCAGACUCCUACGGGAGGCAGCAGUGGGGAAUAUUGUACAAUGGGCGGAAGCCUGAUGCAGCAACGCCGCGUGCGGGAUGACGGCCUUCGGGUUGUAAAACGCUUUCGCCUGUGACGAAGCGUGAGUGACGGUAAUGGGUAAAGAAGCACCGGCUAACUACGUG